CUCUUAUCCAGAGAGGUGGAGGGACUGGCCCUGCGAAACCUCGGCAACCGGUAUUCAUUGCAAUACAUGGUGCUAAUUCCAGCAAAACGACCGCGAGUUCGUUUUGGCAGAUAAGAG
This 117-nucleotide non-coding RNA is filed under the name Tumebacillus flagellatus. RNAcentral's name for it is "SAM-I sequence". It matches the Rfam family "SAM riboswitch aptamer (S box leader)". From Rfam's summary of the family: The SAM riboswitch is found upstream of a number of genes which code for proteins involved in methionine or cysteine biosynthesis in Gram-positive bacteria. The SAM riboswitch acts at the level of transcription termination control. The record is from Rfam by way of RNAcentral. Lineage: Bacteria; Bacillati; Bacillota; Bacilli; Caryophanales; Alicyclobacillaceae.